UAAAAAAAACAAACCAAGCCAACUAAGCAA
Molecule: non-coding RNA, 30 nt
Filed under: Rattus norvegicus (Norway rat)
Lineage: Eukaryota; Metazoa; Chordata; Mammalia; Rodentia; Muridae
Source: RNAcentral